Molecule: ribosomal RNA, 253 nt
Filed under: uncultured bacterium
Lineage: Bacteria
Description: partial 16S ribosomal RNA
Rfam family: Bacterial small subunit ribosomal RNA
Source: RNAcentral
UACGUAUGGAGCAAGCGUUAUCCGGAUUUACUGGGUGUAAAGGGAGCGUAGACGGACUUGCAAGUCUGAUGUGAAAGGCUGGGGCUCAACCCCGGGACUGCAUUGGAAACUGUAGGUCUUGAGUGCCGGAGAGGUAAGUGGAAUUCCUAGUGUAGCGGUGAAAUGCGUAGAUAUUAGGAGGAACACCAGUGGCGAAGGCGGCUUACUGGACGGUAACUGACGUUGAGGCUCGAAAGCGUGGGGAGCAAACAGG